UUAAGAUCUCAAUUCAGCACAAGGAGCUAUUUGCACAACAACCACAAUGCCAUAUCAUCGAUCAAUAACUUCUUCGGAUUCAGAGGAUGAACAUUUUAGUGAAACUGUUGAUAAGGAAAUGAGUCCGUCAGUAUCGAAAAU
Molecule: long non-coding RNA, 141 nt
Organism: Acyrthosiphon pisum (pea aphid)
Lineage: Eukaryota; Metazoa; Arthropoda; Insecta; Hemiptera; Aphididae
Exons: 2
Source: RefSeq, a predicted model, not a curated record